This 254-nucleotide ribosomal RNA is filed under the name uncultured bacterium. Its description in RNAcentral is "partial 16S ribosomal RNA". It matches the Rfam family "Bacterial small subunit ribosomal RNA", at positions 524 to 776 of the family's 1533-position model. The record is from RNAcentral.
UACGUAGGGUGCGAGCGUUGUCCGGAAUUACUGGGCGUAAAGAGCUCGUAGGUGGUUUGUCGCGUUGUCCGUGAAAACUCACAGCUCAACUGUGGGCGUGCGGGCGAUACGGGCAGACUGGAGUACUGCAGGGGAGACUGGAAGUUCCUGGUGUAGCGGUGGAAUGCGCAGAUAUCAGGAGGAACACCGGUGGCGAAGGCGGGUCUCUGGGCAGUAACUGACGCUGAGGAGCGAAAGCGUGGGGAGCGAACAGG